CCUACGGGAGGCAGCAGUGAGGAAUAUUGGUCAAUGGACGAGAGUCUGAACCAGCCAAGUAGCGUGAAGGAUGACGGCCCUAUGGGUUGUAAACUUCUUUUAUAAGGGAAUAAAAUGUGCCACGUGUGGGAUUUUGUGUGUACCAUAUGAAUAAGGAUCGGCUAACUCCGUGCCAGCAGCCGCGGUAAUACGGAGGAUCCGAGCGUUAUCCGGAUUUAUUGGGUUUAAAGGGAGCGUAGGUGGAUUUUUAAGUCAGUGGUGAAAGUUUGCGGCUCAACCGUCAACUUGCCGUUGAAACUGGCAGUCUUGAGUACAGUAGAGGUAUGCGGAAUUCGUGGUGUAGCGGUGAAAUGCUUAGAUAUCACGCAGAACUCCGAUUGCGAAGGCAGUUCACUGGACUGCACCUGACACUCAUGCUCGAAAGUGUGGGUAUCAAACAGGAUUAGAUACCCGAGUAGUC
RNAcentral lists this ribosomal RNA (460 nucleotides) under uncultured bacterium. RNAcentral's name for it is "partial 16S ribosomal RNA". It matches the Rfam family "Bacterial small subunit ribosomal RNA", at positions 338 to 795 of the family's 1533-position model. The record is from RNAcentral.